GACGAACGCUGGCGGCGUGCCUAAUACAUGCAAGUAGAACGCUGAAGGAGGAGCUUGCUUCUCCGGAUGAGUUGCGAACGGGUGAGUAACGCGUAGGUAACCUGCCUGGUAGCGGGGGAUAACUAUUGGAAACGAUAGCUAAUACCGCAUAAUAGUAGAUGUUGCAUGACAUUUGCUUAAAAGGUGCAAUUGCACCACUACCAGAUGGACCUGCGUUGUAUUAGCUAGUUGGUGGGGUAACGGCUCACCAAGGCGACGAUACAUAGCCGACCUGAGAGGGUGAUCGGCCACACUGGGACUGAGACACGGCCCAAACUCCUACGGGAGGCAGCAGUAGGGAAUCUUCCGCAAUGGACGCAAGUCUGACGGAGCAACGCCGCGUGAGUGAAGAAGGUUUUCGGAUCGUAAAACUCUGUUGUUAGAGAAGAACAAGUGCUAGAGUAACUGUUAGCGCCUUGACGGUAUCUAACCAGAAAGCCACGGCUAACUACGUGCCAGCAGCCGCGGUAAUACGUAGGUGGCAAGCGUUGUCCGGAUUUAUUGGGCGUAAAGCGAGCGCAGGCGGUUCCUUAAGUCUGAUGUGAAAGCCCCCGGCUCAACCGGGGAGGGUCAUUGGAAACUGGGGAACUUGAGUGCAGAAGAGGAGAGUGGAAUUCCAUGUGUAGCGGUGAAAUGCGUAGAUAUAUGGAGGAACACCAGUGGCGAAGGCGACUCUCUGGUCUGUAACUGACGCUGAGGCUCGAAAGCGUGGGUAGCAAACAGGAUUAGAUACCCUGGUAGUCCACGCCGUAAACGAUGAGUGCUAAGUGUUGGAGGGUUUCCGCCCUUCAGUGCUGCAGUUAACGCAUUAAGCACUCCGCCUGGGGAGUACGACCGCAAGGUUGAAACUCAAAGGAAUUGACGGGGACCCGCACAAGCGGUGGAGCAUGUGGUUUAAUUCGAAGCAACGCGAAGAACCUUACCAAGUCUUGACAUCCUUUGACCACUCUAGAGAUAGAGCUUUCCCUUCGGGGACAAAGUGACAGGUGGUGCAUGGUUGUCGUCAGCUCGUGUCGUGAGAUAUUGGGUUAAGUCCCGCAACGAGCGCAACCCUUAUUACUAGUUGCCAGCAUUGAGUUGGGCACUCUAGUGAGACUGCCGGUGACAAACCGGAGGAAGGUGGGGAUGACGUCAAAUCAUCAUGCCCCUUAUGACUUGGGCUACACACGUGCUACAAUGGAUGGUACAACGAGCAGCGAACUCGCGAGGGUAAGCGAAUCUCUUAAAGCCAUUCUCAGUUCGGAUUGUAGGCUGCAACUCGCCUACAUGAAGCCGGAAUCGCUAGUAAUCGCGGAUCAGCACGCCGCGGUGAAUACGUUCCCGGGUCU
RNAcentral lists this ribosomal RNA (1367 nucleotides) under uncultured bacterium. RNAcentral's name for it is "partial 16S ribosomal RNA". It matches the Rfam family "Bacterial small subunit ribosomal RNA", at positions 28 to 1381 of the family's 1533-position model. The record is from RNAcentral.